Molecule: ribosomal RNA, 294 nt
Filed under: uncultured bacterium
Lineage: Bacteria
Description: partial 16S ribosomal RNA
Rfam family: Bacterial small subunit ribosomal RNA
Source: RNAcentral
CUUCCCUACGGGGCGCAGCAGUAGGGAAUCUUCCACAAUGGGCGAAAGCCUGAUGGAGCAACGCCGCGUGGGUGAAGAAGGUCUUCGGAUCGUAAAACCCUGUUGUUAGAGAAGAAAGUGCGUGAGAGUAACUGUUCACGUUUCGACGGUAUCUAACCAGAAAGCCACGGCUAACUACGUGCCAGCAGCCGCGGUAAUACGUAGGUGGCAAGCGUUAUCCGGAUUUAUUGAGCGUAAACGGAACGCAGGCGGUCUUUUAAGUUUGAUGUGAAAGCCUUCGGCUUAACCGGCGUA